CUGGCGUUCACCGUCACUUUCUGCCGCUCGGACAAUCAAACACUCGUGAUUCAGAGUUACGCUGCUCUUAUGACACCAUCUGUCGCGUGUGUUCUGCAUAGAACGAGGAGAGGAAGCGAGCCGAGCAUUGAGUGCUGCCUGCUGUCAGUGUGCGAGUGAAAAACAUUUGUAGCGCAUAGUUUAAUGAUCGUGGGAAAUUUUAGUAGUGGCGCUCAGCGCACCGCCGCUGCUGAAUCCAUAUAGAGGAGCCACUGGCUGACCAUUCCCAGAUAUCAACAAUACUCAUGGAUACGUACUUAAAAAUGGUACCACUGGAAGGGACCUGGAUGCUAUAUAAAGCUGCUGGUUAGACAGAAUCUCCCUUAUUCAAUUAAAGCCUGUGAUAUAAUAUGUCAGCAGUUGAAUAAAAUGAAUAUUCUCUAUUUACUACUACUAGUAGUAAAAGCUGGUUUAUGUUCUCAUUAAUGUUCCUGAUUGUAGGUAGAUUAGUGCAUUUAAUUAAAUGUUCUGGUAUCUGAGGCAGAAGGUUAUACAGGAGCCUAUCUUUCCAAAGAUUUGGGUGGAAAGGGCUCCCUGUACAUCAUGCCCAUCCAGGAUACUUUGGACACCUCCCCCCUUGCCAGGCACAUCCAAGAUUUUGAAAAGAUGCCAAAAGCCUGAUGUGCCCUCUUGUCAUCUGAGGAUGCCAGUUCAGUUGCUGGCUUUACAUGCCCAGGAGUGUGAGCCAGAAUUUGGAACCAGAUGUGAUGACAGAUUUUGAGGAGUCUCCAGCUUUGAGCAAUCCUGGGAAUACAUAAGGUCUGCUGCCAUGUACAACUGUCUCUCAGAAGAUAGAUGUUAAGGUGGCCUGUUCUUUGUGCUCCGAGUUGUUUCCUGAGUAUUUUGUUGAAGUACAUGCCAGCACCUGUGGAUAAUGUACAGAGCAAGAGACGCACACCACUGAAUUGGACAACAACGAAAAAACAGUCUAAAAGUCUGACAGGACGGCUGGAGAGAUUAUUGCAAUGAGCAUUACACCUAACUACACCUAACUAUUCCGGGAGUGGUGCUACAUUUCCACUGGGGAGAUUGACAAAGAGAUGGUUUCCAAAGAUGAUGUUGAGGUGGAUGAACCUAAAGCUCUGAUUAACCUCCUUGACAGAAUAUUAGCAUGCGGGUACAGUGGUCCUAUAACACAGGAGAGAAAGGAAGAAAUCCUAAAGGCCAUUAUCUUGCACUCAUCUGUCCGUAUCCUACCGAUGCUGCAGCAGAUUUGCUCAGGCAUGAAGCUAUAUGGAAAGCAACCACACACAUUUCGGCCGCUGUUUGUUCCUGGGCUUUUGGAAAAGAUGCUGAAUUUCUGAUGGGAGCCAUGUCUCCAACCUUCAGUGUGUUGGGCUCACUGAAACGCCAGAGGGAAUCAAAGAUUGUGAACUUCUUGAGAGAUUUCAUCCAGAGCAUUGAAAAUGAAG
Molecule: long non-coding RNA, 1451 nt
Organism: Micropterus dolomieu (smallmouth bass)
Lineage: Eukaryota; Metazoa; Chordata; Actinopteri; Centrarchiformes; Centrarchidae
Exons: 10
Source: RefSeq, a predicted model, not a curated record